GGUGAGAUGGCCGAGUUGGUUAUGGCGCCAGGUUAAGGUCAACCUUAACAAGAGUUAAUUAUCCUGGUGGGGCAACCCUCAUGGGUUCAAAUCCCAUUCUCAUCA
Microdochium nivale is the source of this 105-nucleotide non-coding RNA. NCBI's taxonomy places the organism in Eukaryota, Fungi, Ascomycota, Sordariomycetes, Xylariales, Microdochiaceae. The record is from the annotation of a GenBank genome assembly.